UACGGAGGGUGCGAGCUUUGUCCGGAAUCAUUGGGCGUAAAGGGCGCGUAGGUGGCCCGGUCAGUUCGUGGUGAAAGCGCGGGGCUCAACCCUGCGUCGGCCAUGAAUACUGCCGCGGCUGGAGCACUGUAGAGGCAGGCGGAAUUCCGGGUGUAGCGGUGGAAUGCGUAGAGAUCCGGAAGAACACCGGUGGCGAAGGCGGCCUGCUGGGCAGUUGCUGACACUGAGGCGCGACAGCGUGGGGAGCAAACAGG
This 254-nucleotide ribosomal RNA is filed under the name uncultured bacterium. RNAcentral describes it as "partial 16S ribosomal RNA". It matches the Rfam family "Bacterial small subunit ribosomal RNA", at positions 524 to 776 of the family's 1533-position model. The record is from RNAcentral.